Molecule: long non-coding RNA, 644 nt
Organism: Carya illinoinensis
Lineage: Eukaryota; Viridiplantae; Streptophyta; Magnoliopsida; Fagales; Juglandaceae
Exons: 2
Source: RefSeq, a predicted model, not a curated record
UAUUAGAGGGGAGGAGAACAUGCCUAAGGGCUCUUCUUCUUGCCAUUUUAGAACUUCCAUGUAUCCUUAUCCUCUCCAAAUGAAAUCCACAUUUAGUUGAAGAUCCAUACCCUUUCUUACAUUUUUUCUUCAACCAAACAAGGGAAGUUCAUCCGAGAAGAAGGUUUUGACUUCUUCAAGAAAGACCAAGAAUGAUAGAAGUUGUUACAGGAAUAGAAGGCAAUGACGAUGACCAAGAGAAAGAGAACGGUACACCCUUCUCUGGAGAGGAUCGUGCUUAUGAUGCGUAUUAGUAGGCCAGAGCCUACUAUUUUGGAACACCUGGAGGCUAUAGAUCAGGAGAUCUCUAAGAUCCUUUAGUUCAUUAAGGAGUUCCGAUGCCUCAAUAAUAGGGAUGAAGACUGGGCUUUGGAGAAGCGGGUGAAGGACAAACCACUAUAGAAAAAAGAAGGGGGGACAAAGAGAGAAAGAGAUGGCUAGUUGGGACCUAUUUUCCCAUAAGGGGAAAAAUGCUUUUGGAACUCAUUUUAUAAAAAGGAACGUUUUGGUCCCAUGUUUUGGGAAAUGCAAACUCUCUUGUGUAUGGAAGUCAAUGAUUUGGACAAGGUUUGGGUAAAAGUUUUUUUCUACCAUGUAUUUUGCAA